Long non-coding RNA from Diorhabda carinulata, 1221 nucleotides. RefSeq lists it as uncharacterized. The transcript has 2 exons. NCBI's taxonomy places the organism in Eukaryota, Metazoa, Arthropoda, Insecta, Coleoptera, Chrysomelidae. The record is from RefSeq and is a predicted model, not a curated record.
AAAUUGACUCGCGAACAAAGCUUCGGUUAUAAAAUUUGAUUAUCUUUUCGAACAAACUCCAAGAAAAACAUAAUAAAAAACAAAAUCGUUUAUAAAAUACCAGAAAAUUUUAGUUGGGAGAAAACAUCUGCAUAUAAUAAGAGAGUGAUUAUAGGAAUGUCAAGUAGUAUUGAAAAAUAACAAAAAUAAUGUGUCGUAUUGAAUAAGUUAUUUACUACCACAGACCUGGUCUGUGUUUACUACCUUAUGGAACUAACCUCAAAUGAUAUAUGUAUAAUAAGGACAAUAAAAACCAAAUUUAAGAAUAUUUAGAUAUGACAGUAUAAUUUAAAAAAAAAAAACAAUAAUUUUUUGUUCAUACGGUGAUACUAACUUUCAUCAAGCAGCGUAUUUUAAGAAUCCACAAUUGAGUUGGAUAAAUACUUCAUUAAAAUGACCAUAGAGUUCUGAUGACCUACAGUUGACUAUCAUAACAUCCACCCACAUAUUCAAGAGCUUUUAGAAGAUUAUUAAUGGAGUAUGCAAGCAAGAAACGUCAAGAUCUAGUCUAAGAAACAAGCAAUAGAAAACAGAGGACAAGAGGGAUUUAUGAGACCAAGGGUAAGAAAGAAGCAAGAGAAUUGCAAAUAAACAUUAAGACCCAGGCUAAUAAACAAUCAAGAGAAAUCCAAAAGUUAUAGUAAACUGGGGAAAAGGAUAACAAAGAGCAAAAGAAAAACUAGGGACAAGAAGGAUAUAUCAAGAUCCAGUCUAAGUAAGAGCAAAAUAAAUGCAAAAAUAAGAGAAAACAGAGGACAAUAAAAGAAAACUGAUUAGAAGUAGGAAACACAAGAUCUACUCCAAGAAAGAAGCAAGAGGUAUCCAAAAAAGAGAAAACAAGGAUAUAUUAAACACAAGCUAAAAAAGAAUUGCAAAUAAAAGAAAAUUGAUGAGAAGCGGGAAACAUUAAGAUUUAAGGUUAAGAAACAAGCAAGAGAAUUGCAAAUUAAAUAAAGCUUAUGAGAAGCAAGAAACAUCAAAACACAGGUUAAGAAACAAGAGAAAUCCAAAAGUAAAGGCAAACUGAGGAUGGAAGACACAUUGAGACUCCCGGUACAAAAGAAGUGAGAUAUUUCCACAAGUAAUAGGAAAUUGAGGACGAGGGAAAACAGGACAUAAAUAAUAACAUGGUUAUUGAAAAUUAUGGAACUGUUUUUCGUAAUAAAUUUUUUAUUAAGUAAA